CCUACGGGGGGCAGCAGUAGGGAAUAUUGCUCAAUGGGGGAAACCCUGAAGCAGCCACGCCGCGUGGAGGAUGAAGGUUUUCGGAUUGUAAACUCCUUUUGUUAGGGAAGAUAGUGACGGUAUCUAACGAAUAAGCAACGGCUAACUCCGUGCCAGCAGCCGCGGUAAUACGGAGGGUGCAAGCGUUACUCGGAAUCACUGGGCGUAAAGAGCACGUAGGCGGGAGAGCAAGUCAGAUGUGAAAUCCUAUGGCUUAACCAGAGAACUGCAUUUGAAACUGUGAUGCGAGAGUAUGGGAGAGGUAGGUGGAAUUCUUGGUGUAGGGGUAAAAUGCGUAGAGAUCAAGAGGAAUACGGAUUGCGAAGGCGACCUGCUAGAACAUAACUGACGCUGAUGCGCGAAAGCGUGGGGAGCAAACAGGAUUAGAUACCCGAGUAGUC
This 440-nucleotide ribosomal RNA is filed under the name uncultured bacterium. RNAcentral describes it as "partial 16S ribosomal RNA". It matches the Rfam family "Bacterial small subunit ribosomal RNA", at positions 338 to 795 of the family's 1533-position model. The record is from RNAcentral.